UGUGCAAUUCAGUUCAAUAUCCUUUUCAUUUUAUUGUCAAACAAUUGCAAAGCUUUGCAAUAUCUGGUUCAUCAUGUUUUAAAAUUCAAAAAUAAAAUACAUUAUAGGUUUUAAUUUAGUACUAGAAUAGAAAUCUGAACUGCCUUGUAAUUCAUAUUUCUUAUCUUCUGUUCAGCUGUAUUCUACAUUCUAUACACCAAUCAGCCAUAAGAUUAAAACCACCUGCCUAAUAUUGUGUAGGUUCCCCUUGUGCCACCAAAACAACUCUGACCUGUCGAGACAUGGACUCCACAAGACCUCUAAAGGUGCGCUGUGAUAUCUGGCACAGAUAUCAGCAGUUGGCAGCAGAUUCCUGUAAGUCUUAUAAGUUGCGAACUGGAUUGAGCUUGUUGCUCGAUCGGAUUGAGAUCUGGGGAAUUUGGAGACCUUGAACACUGUCAUGUUCCACAAACCAUUCCUGAGCAAUUUUUGCAGUGUGGCAGGGUGCAUUAUCCUGCUGAAACAGGUCAAUACCAUUAGGGAAUACCGUUGCCAUGAAGGGGUGUACUGCAUCAAUGUAUAGAUGGUACAUGUCAACGUAACACUCACAUGAAUCCCAGGACCCAAGGUUUCCCAGCAUCAUACUUCCUCUGCUGGAUUUCCUUGUUCCCUCAGUGCAUCCUAGUGCCAUGUUUUCCCUAGGUAAGCGACACGGAUGCACCCAGCCAUCCACGUUAUGUAAAAGAAAACCUGAUUCAAUAGACCAGGCCACAUUCUUCUGUUAUUCCACGGUCCAGUUCUUCUGCUCCCGUGGCCAUUGCACUUUUGGCAAUGGACAGGGGUCAGCAUAUGCACUUUGACUGGUCUAUGGUUACACAACCUCAUAUGUAGCAAGCUAUGAUGCACUGUGUGUUCUGACACCUUUCUAUCAUAGCCAGCAUUAACUUUUUCAAAAAGUUGUGCUACAGUAGCUCUUUUGUGCUAUCAGACAAGACUGGCUAGCCUUUGCUCCCCACGCACAUCACUGCACCUUGGGCACCAAUGACUCUGUUGCCGGUUCUCCUUCCUUGGACCCCUUUUGGUAGGUACUAACUGCUGCUUCCUGAGAACACCCCGCAAGACCUGCCGUUUUAGAGAUGCUCUGACCCAGUCGUCUAGCAAUCACAAUUUAACCCUUGUAAAAGUUGCUCAGAUCCUAACACUUGCCCACUUUCCAUGCUUUCAACACGUCACCUUUGAGAACUGACUGCUCCCUUUCUAUCCCACCCCUUGAUAAGUGCCACUGUAAUGAGAGAAUCAUUAUUCACUUCACCCAUCAGUGGUUUUAAUGUUAUGGCUGAUUGAUGUAAUUGAAUAACAUGUCAUGUGUAUUAUAGUUUAUUAAGGAAUGCUUUAUAAAGUCAUGUGAAAAAAAUAAGUACACCCUAUGGAAAUUGCUGACACUUUUGACAUAUUUGGACAAGCAAAGAUUUGAUCAUCUUUUGAAACAGUGCCUAUUAAUAAAGGUGAUAUACUUGAAAAAACCCACAAGGAAAAUUAGCUUUUUUUAUUCAUUUAUUCAACAGAAAUAUCAAUAGAUGUAAUAUUCUUCUGUGGAAAAAGUAAGUACACUCUCGGCCUCAGAAGCUGGUAUUGCCCCCUUUAGCAGAAAUAUCUUCUUGUAGGCAUUUUCCAUAAUUGUCCACCAGGCUUGCUGGAUUUUUUGACCAGUCUUCCAUGCAAUAUUCUUUCAGUUGUAAGAUGGUUGAGGGUUUUCUUGCAUGUACUGCCCGUUUUAAAUCCCCCCACAACAUUUCAAAUCCGGGCUUUGACUAUGCCAUUCGAUAACUCUCCAUUUCUUCUUUUUGAGCCAUUCCAUGGUGGAUUUGCUAGUGUGAUUAGGAUCAUUAUCUUGUUGAAACGUACACUUUUGUCUCAACUUCUACUUUUGGACAGAUGUCCUCACAUUAUCUCCAAGCACUCUUUGAUAUGAUGCAGAAUUCAUAGUUGAAUCGCAAACCGUCCGGUCCCUGAGGCAGCAAAGCAACCCCAAACCAUUACAUUUCCACCACCAUGCUUCACAGUUGUUAUGAGGUGCUUCUCUUGAAAAGCAGUCCUUGGUCUGCACCAAACAUGUCUGCUGUUGCUGUGUCCAAACAACUGUCUUUGAUUCAUCUGUCCAGAGCAUAUUAUUCCAAAAGGCCUGGUCUUCGCCUGUAUGCUCAUUGGCAAUCUUUAGUCUUGCAAAGGCUUUUUCCUGGCACAUCUCCCAUGCAGCUCAAAUUUCUGCAAACUCUUUCUGAUUGUAUAAGCAUGCACUUUGACACAAACUGACAUCUAGCAGAUUCUGUGAUUGAAUUUUGGGGUUCUUUGCUGGGACAGCCAGUCCAGGACAAAUUGGCAGUUGUUUGAAAUCUGCGCCAUUUGUAGAUUCUUUUCCUUACAGUGAAAUGAUGUAUUUAAAAUAAUUUGGAGAUCUUUUUUAAUCCCUUGCCUGACUCAAAGGCAUCCACAACCUUUUUUUCUGAAUGCCUUACAGAACUCUUUAGAUCCUGUCAUGACACCACACACCUCAAUAGCAAAGGGAACACCAGACACUAGAAUCUACUUAGGGAGUGCAGGUGGAACCUGUCUUAUUUAUACCCCUCUUGUAUCUAGAAACUGGCACUCAAUCUUGAACAUCUGAUUCUAAUUUUAUGGAUUUGAAGGUGUGAUAAAUGUAGGGGUGUACUUACUUGUUCCAGGUGACUGAUCUGUUUUAAGUUGUGACAAUUACUGCAAAGUAUAAAUUUUAUGUAUCAAUUGAUAGUGUAUCACUUUUAUUAAUAAGCAAUGUUUCAAAGAGGAUCCAAUAUUUGCUUGUCCAAAUAUGUCAAAAAAGCCAACAAUUUCGAUAGGUUGUACUUAUUUUUUCACAUGAUUGUAUGGAAUGUAAUCACUAUUUUGGGCUUGGAAUUAAAAUUUGGCAAUACUUUUUAUACCUGUGCCACUAAUUGGGUGAGAGAUUACAUUUAUGGGUUGUCCAUCCAUUUAUUUUUUCUUUUCUUCAAAAGCUUCCUUCCUGUUUGCCACACAAAGAUGGUACACCUUCAUGGUCAGGAACUCCACUUUCGUUUUCAUUGCUAUCUGUGGUUUUUCCACCAGUCCAUCCAUCUGUCCAUCCUUCUGGCCAUCCUUCAGUGUGCCUACACGUCUGUCUGAGAUUCUUGUUAACACAAUAUCUCAAGAAUGAAUGGUUGAAUGGUUGUCAAGUUGUCAAGUGGCUUUUAUUGCCAUUUCAACCAUAUACAGCUGGUACAGUACACAGUGAAAUUAAACAAUGUUCCUCUUGAACCAUGGUGCUACAAAAAAACAACACACUAUCUACAUGAGACGACAUGGAACUAAAUAAGAUCUACACAUUUUUACAUAAAGUACCCAUGCAAACGUGUACUUACAACACAACAGUAACUACUAAAACAGGAACAAUAGGCACAGUAAGUGACAGUGUAGCGCCGACUAGUACACAGGUCUAGUAUGAGUAGUGUCUGAUAUAACAGGUUAUGCAAAAGACAGGUGCAGAAGAGUUAGAGUAUAAUUAAAAAAUGCUGUGAAUGUAAACAUAACAUGCUAUGACUUGGUACUCAGCAGAUAAGCUUAUACCAAAUAUAGACAUAGCAGUUAUUGCAGUAGCAGCCAGGUAAAGUGUAUAAUAGUGACAAGAAAUUAAAUAAUAUAUUUUUCUAAAUACAGUAGCAGCAAAAAUGCAAUACAGUCGAUACAGAAAUGUGCAAAUAUUGUAACGGGAGUGGGAUGUUGUUCAGUGUGCGUGUUUGCGUCCAGUCUCUGAGUAUUUAGGAGUCUGAUGGCUUAGGGGAAGAAACUGUUACAUGGUUUGGCCCUGAGGGCCUGAAUGCUUCAGUACCUUUUUCCAGGUGGCAGGAGGGUGAAGAGUUUGUGUGAGGGGUGUGUGGGGUCAUCCACAAUACGGGUGGUUUUGCAGAUGCAGCGUGUGGUAUAAAUGUCUAUGAUGGAGGGAAGAGAAACCUCAAUGAUCUUCUCAGCCGUCCUCAAUAUCGUCUGCAGGGUCUUGCAAUCUCAUACGGUGCAAUUUCCAAACCAGGCAAUGAUGUAGCUGCUCAGGAUGCUCUCACUGAUUCCUCUGUAGAAUGUGGUGAGGAUGAGGGGUAGGAUGUGCUUUUCUCAGCCUUUUCAGGAAGUAGAGGUACUGCUGAGCUUUCUUGGUUAUGGAGCUGGUGUUGAGGGACCAAGUGAAGUUCUUCCAUCAGGUGAACACCAAGGAAUUUGGUGCUCUUGACGAUCUCCAUGGAUGAGCCGUUGAUGUUCAGUGGAGAGUGGUCGCUCCUUGCUAUCCUGAAGUCAACAACCAUCUCUUUUGUUUUGUCGACAUUCAGAGACAGGUUGUUGGUUCUGCACCAGUCCAUUAGCAGUUUCACGUCCUCUCUGUAUGCUGACUUGUUCUUGCUGAUGAGACCCACCCAGUUAUGUCAUCAGCAAACCUGAUGAUGUGAUUGGAGCACAGUGAACAGCAGUGGACUGAGCACACAGCCCUGGGGGGCCCCUAUGCUCAGUGUGGUGGUGCUGGAGAUGCUGUUCCUGAUCCUGACUGAGGUCUCCCAGUCAGGAAGUCCAGGAUUCAGUUGCAGAAGGAGGUGUUCAAGCCCUGCAAGUUCAGCGUUCCAAUCAGGUGGUGGUGAUGGCAUCAUCUGUUGAGCAGUUGGAGCGAGCUGCAGGGUGUCCAGUGAGGGGGUCAGCAGGGUCUUGAUGUGCCUCAUGACAAGCCUCUCGAAGCACUUCGUGAUGAUGGGUGUAAGCGCAAAGGGACGGUAGAUGUUGAGGCAGAACACUGAAGACCUCUUCAGGACGGGGACGAUGGUGGCCUUGAAGCAUGUUGGAACGACGGCACUGCUCAGGAAGAUGUUGAAGAUGUCAGUGAGAACAUACGCCAGCUGGUCUGCACAGCCUGUGAGCACUCUGCCAGAUGUUGUCUGGUUCAGCAGCUUUCCGUGGGUUGACUCUGUUUAGAGUUUUCCUCACAUCAGCCGUGGUUAGACAUAGCACCUGGUCGUUGGUAGGAGGGGUGGCCUUCCUCGCCGCCACAUCAUUCUGCACCUAAAACUGAGCAUAGAAGUUGUUCAAUGCAUCUGGGAGGAAGGCAUAACUGUCACAGGCUGGUGAUGUCCUGUAGGUGCUGAUGGCCUGGCCUGAAUGCCGUGCCACAUGCACCAUGUGUCACUGCUGUCCAUGAAGUUGCUGUGGAUUUUCUGGGCGUGUGCACACUUUGCUUCUCUGAUGGCCCGGGACAGUUUUGCCCUGGCUGUUCUUAGGGCCACCUUGUCAUCUGCCCUGAAGGUGGAUCUCGGGUACUCAGCAAUGCACGCAACUCCACAGUCAUCCAUGGUUUCUGGUUGGAGUGUGUGGUGAUUGUCUUGGAGACAGUGACGUCAUCAGUGCACUUGCUGAUAUAGCUGGUCACAAAUGCCAUGUAUACCUCCACGUUGGUGGUGUAAGAAAAAAUUAUGAGGAUGUCCAAGAUUUCAAUGAAGAAUAACUUUAUUACAGCAUGGCAGUGCCAAAGUACAUGAAGCACUUCGGGUUCAUCGGAGUCAAACCAGGUUUUCAGCAUGUAAUGUAAAUGAAGUUUCACUCUAAAUGUAAAUUAAGGAUAUCAUUUGAUGUGAUCACUUUCUGUUCCCACAGUACUGAUGUCAGGUGUGACCCCCAAAUGGUGAGGUGAUAGGAUUGUCUAGACACAUGGUUUUCUGAAUGAUAAUUACGGUCACGCACCCCUUUGUUCAGGAAUGGUUCUUGAUGUCCCACUGUUGCUCCCAUGUUAUAACUGAGUGAAUGUCAUUUUAGGUGGUAUUAUACGCAUAUUGCUGAGACUGAGGUAAAUUUUCCUUUUGAUAAUUCAGCCUUUUUCAGGGAAGAACUUUUUCCAACAGCUACCUUGGAAUGGAAUCUGUUUAGAGACAGUCUCUAAUUUCUUACAGUGGAGGCACUGUUGGUUGCAGCCUCCCUGAAUAUGUGCUAGUCAGUGUGCUCAAAACAGUCUUGAGGAGCAGAGAUGGCUCCUGCUGGCCAUGUUUUCACUUGCUUCAAAACCAGUUUGGAGCGUCUGAUGAGCACUCUGUAUACUGGGAUUAGCAUAAUGGAGAUUAGGUCCGAGUAGCCGAGGUGGGGGUGGGGCUCCACCCGGUAUGCGCCGGGGAUGUUUGUGUGAACAAGAUCCAGCAUUUUCACCCCUUUUGUUGCAAAGUUCACAUGUUGAUGGAAUUUAGGGAGCACUGAUUUGAGAUUCUCAUGGUUAAAAUCUCUAGCGAUGAUAAGUAGUACAUCGGGGUGUGUGUUCUGCUCCUCCGUGGAGAUCAUCAAGAUUACUUGGUCUUCCUCACCUGGUCCUUCAACACCAACUCCAUAGCCAAGAAAGCCUAGCAGCAUCUCAACUUUCUGCAAAGGCUGAAAAAAGCCCACCUCCACCUCCCAUACUCACAAAAUUCUACAGAGAAACUAUUGAGAGCAUCCUGAGCAGCUGCAUCACUGUCUAGUUCGGAAAUUUCACCUUAUCGGAUCGCAAGACCCUACAAGAGAUAGUGAGGACAGUUGAGAAGAUCAUUGGGGUCUCUCUUCCCUCCAUCAUAGACAUUUACGCCACACGAUGCAUCCGCAAAGCCACCAGCAUUGUGGAUGACCCCACACACCCCUCACACAAACUCUUCACCCUCUUGUAGUCUGGAAAAAGGUACCAAAGCGGUAACACGUUAAUGUUACUUUUUUUUUUUUUUUUUUUUUUCUUAAAGUGUUAUUUCUAAUCAGCAAAUAUGAAAUUCUGCAAUCUUUAACAGCCAUUUUCCCAAAAUGAGUGUAUUUCAACACUCAUUAUUUAAAAAAAAAUCUUUAUUUUCUCGACUUACUGUGCCUGUUGUCCUGUUUUAGUAGUAUUGUACUGUCCUGUGCUGUUAGCACACGUCUGCACGUGAACUUUGAGUAGAGUGUGUAGAUCUUAUUUAGUUCUGUGUCGUCUCAUGUGGUUAGCGUGUUGUUUUAUGUAGCACCAUGGUCCUGGAGGAACAUUGUUUUGUUUCACUGUGUACUGUACCAGCUGUAUAUGGUUGAAAUGACAAUAAAACCCCUUGAACUAAUUUUCUCGUGAUCUCGACAUACCAAAAUAGUUAUUUUCUCAUGAUAUCGAAAUAGCAAAGUUGUUUUCUCAUGAUUCCGAAUAAAUUUUUCUGUGUACUUUAUAUAACAUUUUUUUAUUGUUCUGGAGGCAGCAAAAAACUAGCGCAAUCCCACAGCAUCAUGGAUGAACAGAGAUAUUUUUUUUACUUUGUUCAGGGACUCAAUCAAGCUGAAAUAGCUGUCAGUGACUGACAACUUCCACAUUAGUGUCUGAUACUUGAGAAGGGGACAUCCCUCUCUCUUAAUAGUGAGAUAAAGCUCAUCUCUACAGCGGGUAUUUAUUGCAUUUAUGAUUUCGAAGACUCCAAUGUGCAUGUAACACCGCUCCCAUUCACAAAGUGUGAGAUUUUCUUGUGAAAAAAAUGGCAUCAUGAGAAAACAGCUUUUUAUGUCCUGUCAUGAUCACGAGAAGAAAAUGUUUGUUGAUAUCACGAGAAAACAAAGAAAGGAAAAAAAUAAUUAAUUACCGCUUAGGGCUUCCAUAGAUUGCUAUAGACUGUAGGCCUGUUAAUAUGGUGGAAGGGGGUUGAUGGAAACAUUUUGAAUUGCUUCCUCCGAUACAACCUAAAAGUUUGUGUAAUAAAUCUAAUAAAAUUUUAUAUAUUUAUUUUUAAAGCUACUUUUUUGUAAUGUCUAUUCAGUGCUCUUCUCAUCUAAAACAGUAAUGACAUUGAAUGAUCUUUUGGGGGUAAUUUCUUUGUGAUUAAUUCGAUUAAUUAAUCGGCACAUCAUGUAAUCAAUUUGAUAAAAAUGUUUAAUUGAUUGACAGCCCUAAUAAAAAUCCUAUUGUAA
Molecule: long non-coding RNA, 7932 nt
Organism: Ictalurus punctatus (channel catfish)
Lineage: Eukaryota; Metazoa; Chordata; Actinopteri; Siluriformes; Ictaluridae
Exons: 2
Source: RefSeq, a predicted model, not a curated record